This 461-nucleotide ribosomal RNA is filed under the name uncultured bacterium. RNAcentral's name for it is "partial 16S ribosomal RNA". It matches the Rfam family "Bacterial small subunit ribosomal RNA", at positions 28 to 506 of the family's 1533-position model. The record is from RNAcentral.
GACGAACGCUGGCGGCGUGCUUAACACAUGCAAGUCGAACGGAAAGGCCCUUCGGGGUACUCGAGUGGCGAACGGGUGAGUAACACGUGGGUGAUCUGCCCUGCACUUUGGGAUAAGCCUGGGAAACUGGGUCUAAUACCGAAUAGGACCGCGCGCUUCAUGGUGUGUGGUGGAAAGCUUUUGCGGUGUGGGAUGGGCCCGCGGCCUACCAGCUUGUUGGUGGGGUAAGGGCCUACCAAGGCGACGACGGGAAGCCGGCCUGAGAGGGUGACCGGCAACAAGGGCGUUGGGAUUCGUCCCUAACUUGUCCGGUGAUUUCCUACGGGGAAUUUGUCGCACUGCGCCCAACCCUGAUACUGCUCCCCGCCCUGUGGGAAGGCGCCCUUGGGGUUCUAAACCCUUUUCCCCAUGUGCCUCGCACAAGUGCCGGUCCUUGGAGAAGGUGCCCCGCCCAUUCACCU